AUCCUGAGAAAAGUAGCACACGUAGUGGGAGAACCACAAUUAGUGUGCGUGCCGUACGUGUGAUGAUGUUUUAAGGGGAGUGUAUACUUAUCGGACUGCAAGUUAUUGGAUUGGUUAUUAUUACUAGCUACGCCACGGAUGGUUACACAUUAUUCUAAAAUAGACAUGGGAUCAAAUGGUACCGUUUGCAUUUAUUAUAUGUUAAUGACCUUGAGAUAUAAGAAGGAUAAGAUAUGUCUCUAUAAACACAAUGUUUUUUGCAAUUUAUGGAAAAGUGUAUAAUAAGGCUGGAAAACAUCUACCAUUUAAUAAACAUUAAUUAGUUAAAGCAAUAAUGAUAUCUUUUAUAACUUCUCGUGUUUGUGUAGUUCGAAAGCUAAAAAUGUAAUAUAAAAAUUGUUAGUUCUAAAAUGAAUAUAAGUAAAUAGUACAAGUAGAUAAGUUCGAGUUAAUUAAAAGUGAUUAUAUG
This is a long non-coding RNA of Belonocnema kinseyi, 469 nucleotides long. RefSeq lists it as uncharacterized. NCBI's taxonomy places the organism in Eukaryota, Metazoa, Arthropoda, Insecta, Hymenoptera, Cynipidae. The record is from RefSeq and is a predicted model, not a curated record. The transcript is spliced from 2 exons.